CCUACGGGGGGCUGCAGUGAGGAAUAUUGGUCAAUGGGGGGAACCCUGAUGCAGCGACGCCGCGUGGGUGAAGGAGCGUUUCGGCGCGUAAAGCCCUAUCGGCAGGGAAGAAGAUGACGGUACCUGACCAAGAAGCUCUGGCUAACUACGUGCCAGCAGCCGCGGUAAUACGUAGGGGGCAAGCGUUAUCCGGAUUUACUGGGUGUAAAGGGGGCGCAGACGGCAAUGCAAGCCAGGAGUGAAAGCCUGGGGCCCAACAGCGGUACUGCUCUUGGAACUGCAUGGCUGGAGUACAGGAGGGGCAGGCGGAAUUCGUAGUGUAGCGGUGAAAUGCGUAGAUAUUAGGAGGAACACCGAUGGCGAAGGCGGCCUGCUGGACUGUGACUGACGUUGAGGCCCGAAGGCGUGGGGAGCAAACAGGAUUAGAUACCCUAGUAGUC
This 440-nucleotide ribosomal RNA is filed under the name uncultured bacterium. RNAcentral describes it as "partial 16S ribosomal RNA". It matches the Rfam family "Bacterial small subunit ribosomal RNA", at positions 338 to 795 of the family's 1533-position model. The record is from RNAcentral.